CAUUUAUCCCAGGGAUCUGCAUCCGUCUUUCAGGACACAGCGUUUCAUGGUAUGCUGACCCAACAGUCACACAGCUCAGCUAGGGCAGACGGUGGGCCUUAAAGUGUCACAAUCUCCAUCACGGGGGCUUGAGAUGAGCCGGACAGCAGCGGAAAGAAAUGACUUCUGCUUAUUUAGCAUUUCAAUUUGGGAAAUGAGGAAUACUUAAUAGGUGGGUGAAUCUGAUUCUAAGAAACAGCCAUCCCUGGACUUCAGCAGCACCACGCAGCACACUGUGGUCUCUUCGCCCAGCCUGCUGCCAAGCUGAGGAGGACCCACAAGCACGCACGGGCCUGGGCGGGGUGAGCCGCCGUGCUCAGCCGGACAGACUGCCACCAACUGCCCCGCACUGCUAAGGAGCCGGCGCAGAGCUCGCAAAGGGGUCUGUGUGUGCACAACGGAUGGCUGGCAGAUUCGUCUCCUCCACACCCUCACAUCUUCACUGGGAAACUGCUGUCAGAAGGCAAGUUCUGCCAGUAGCAGGCUUGAAAUCCCAGGCACCCAGGAGAGUGCCCGGCCCUAGCAGGACCCUGGCUAAGAUUUGCGGAAUGGAGGAAAUCAGCGGGGGAGCCGCUGGGAAAAGGAUGGGACUACCUGAUGCAAUGUACAUAUGUAUUCAUAUGUAAUAGAUACUCUGUACCUAGUAAUUACACUUAUUUAAUAUACAUGAAAAACCAUGUACAUGAAAAUAACUUUGUAAAUUGUAAAAUGAUUUUAAAUAAUGAAAGAACUGUAAGGAUAAUCUGCAAAUAUGCACAGGCUCAACAGCUUCAUCCUUCCAUUAAGCCUAUUGGCUCAACUACAAAGACCUCACCCAACCGGCCCUGUCCCCGGGCCAUGGAAUAGGGUGGUUAUGGGCAGGGGCUCAGGAGCGAGACUACCUGUACAGACACACCUUGGAGAUACGGCAGGUUCGCUUCCAGACCACCACAAUAAAGCAAAUAUCGCAAUAAAGC
Long non-coding RNA from Choloepus didactylus (southern two-toed sloth), 995 nucleotides. RefSeq lists it as uncharacterized. The transcript has 3 exons. The record is from RefSeq and is a predicted model, not a curated record. Lineage: Eukaryota; Metazoa; Chordata; Mammalia; Pilosa; Megalonychidae.